Klebsiella pneumoniae is the source of this 148-nucleotide non-coding RNA. The record is from Rfam. Lineage: Bacteria; Pseudomonadati; Pseudomonadota; Gammaproteobacteria; Enterobacterales; Enterobacteriaceae.
CUCGUUAUUCAGCUAACGGUAGCCUAAGGAUAGUGCGUCACUGGUAACGGUGAGGUAUGAAGCAUCCCUACAAUGUAGUCAUGUCAUCGACAUCGGGUGUCCCCGCGAGGGUAAACCUGGAUUCUACCAGCAACAGGUGGAUGAGACG